This 787-nucleotide ribosomal RNA is filed under the name Streptomyces sp. Sp080513SC-04. RNAcentral describes it as "bacterial SSU rRNA". It matches the Rfam family "Bacterial small subunit ribosomal RNA", at positions 39 to 840 of the family's 1533-position model. The record is from RNAcentral. Lineage: Bacteria; Bacillati; Actinomycetota; Actinomycetes; Kitasatosporales; Streptomycetaceae.
GCGGCGUGCUUAACACAUGCAAGUCGAACGAUGAACCACUUCGGUGGGGAUUAGUGGCGAACGGGUGAGUAACACGUGGGCAAUCUGCCCUGCACUCUGGGACAAGCCCUGGAAACGGGGUCUAAUACCGGAUACUGACCCGCUUGGGCAUCCAAGCGGUUCGAAAGCUCCGGCGGUGCAGGAUGAGCCCGCGGCCUAUCAGCUUGUUGGUGAGGUAAUGGCUCACCAAGGCGACGACGGGUAGCCGGCCUGAGAGGGCGACCGGCCACACUGGGACUGAGACACGGCCCAGACUCCUACGGGAGGCAGCAGUGGGGAAUAUUGCACAAUGGGCGAAAGCCUGAUGCAGCGACGCCGCGUGAGGGAUGACGGCCUUCGGGUUGUAAACCUCUUUCAGCAGGGAAGAAGCGAAAGUGACGGUACCUGCAGAAGAAGCGCCGGCUAACUACGUGCCAGCAGCCGCGGUAAUACGUAGGGCGCGAGCGUUGUCCGGAAUUAUUGGGCGUAAAGAGCUCGUAGGCGGCUUGUCACGUCGGUUGUGAAAGCCCGGGGCUUAACCCCGGGUCUGCAGUCGAUACGGGCAGGCUAGAGUUCGGUAGGGGAGAUCGGAAUUCCUGGUGUAGCGGUGAAAUGCGCAGAUAUCAGGAGGAACACCGGUGGCGAAGGCGGAUCUCUGGGCCGAUACUGACGCUGAGGAGCGAAAGCGUGGGGAGCGAACAGGAUUAGAUACCCUGGUAGUCCACGCCGUAAACGGUGGGCACUAGGUGUGGGCGACAUUCCACGUCGU